CAGAGGAGCCAAGCGUUGUCCGGAGUAACUGGGCGUAAAGCGCACGCAGGCGGUUCUGUGCGUGGGGUGUGAAAGCUCUCGGCUUAACUGAGAGAGGCCACCUCAUACGGCAGAGCUUGAGGCUGUGAGAGGUCCACGGAAUUGCCGGUGUAGUGGUGAAAUGCGUAGAGAUCGGCAGGAACACCCAGGGGGAAACCAGUGGACUGGCACAGUACUGACGCUGAGGUGCGAAAGCGUGGGGAGCGAACCGGAUUAGAUACCCGGGUAGUCCACGCCGUAAACGAUGAAUACUCGGCAUCUGGCGGGCGAUUUUCGUCCGCCGGGUGCCCCAGCUAACGCGGUAAGUAUUCCGCCUGGGAACUACGAGCGCAAGCUUA
Molecule: ribosomal RNA, 377 nt
Filed under: uncultured organism
Description: bacterial SSU rRNA
Rfam family: Bacterial small subunit ribosomal RNA
Source: RNAcentral